UAGGGAAUAUUAGAAAUGGACGAAAGUCUGAUCUAGCAACACCGCGUGUGCGAAGAAGGCCUUUGGGUCGUAAAGCACUUUUUGGAAGGAAUAGGAAGGAAUGUACUUCCAGAAUAAGUCUCGGCUAACUACGUGCCAGCAGCCGCGGUAACACGUAGGAGGCAAACGUUAUCCGGAUUUACUGGGCGUAAAGCGCGUGUAGGUGGUACUGUAAGUAGGGCGUGAAAGCUCCUGGCUCAACUGGGAGAGGCCGUUCUAAACUACAGAACUAGAGGAUGGUAGAGGGAGGUGGAGUUCCAGGUGUGGCGGUGGAAUGCGCGGAUAUCUGGAGGAGCACCGGUGGCGAAGGCGGCCUCCUGGACCAUUCCUGACACUCAGACGCGAAAGCUAGGGU
RNAcentral lists this ribosomal RNA (394 nucleotides) under uncultured bacterium. RNAcentral's name for it is "bacterial SSU rRNA". It matches the Rfam family "Bacterial small subunit ribosomal RNA", at positions 355 to 766 of the family's 1533-position model. The record is from RNAcentral.